UACGUAGGGGGCAAGCGUUAUCCAGAUUUACUGGGCGUAAAGCGCGUGUAGGCGGCUGGUUAGGUGUGAUGUGAAAUCUUCGGGCUCAACCCGAAAACUGCAUUGCAAACCGGCCUGGCUAGAGUGCAGGAGAGGGAAGCGGAAUUCCAGGUGUAGCGGUGAAAUGCGUAGAUAUCUGGAGGAAUACCGGUGGCGAAGGCGGCAUCCUGGACCGACAUUGACGCUGAACGGCGAAAGCUAGGGGAGCAAACGGG
Molecule: ribosomal RNA, 254 nt
Filed under: uncultured bacterium
Lineage: Bacteria
Description: partial 16S ribosomal RNA
Rfam family: Bacterial small subunit ribosomal RNA
Source: RNAcentral